CAGGGCUGAGUUCAUCCCGGGGUUGAAAUUUUAACCCUGCUUCAGCUAGCAGGGUUGAAAUUUCAACCCCGGGGUUGAACUCAGCCCUG
Molecule: microRNA precursor, 89 nt
Filed under: Paramuricea clavata
Lineage: Eukaryota; Metazoa; Cnidaria; Anthozoa; Malacalcyonacea; Plexauridae
Source: RNAcentral